AAAUUGAAGAGUUUGAUCAUGGCUCAGAUUGAACGCUGGCGGCAGGCCUAACACAUGCAAGUCGAACGGUAACAGGAAGCGCUUGCUGCUUCGCUGACGAGUGGCGGACGGGUGAGUAAUGUCUGGGAAACUGCCUGAUGGAGGGGGAUAACUACUGGAAACGGUAGCUAAUACCGCAUAACGUCGCAAGACCAAAGAGGGGGACCUUCGGGCCUCUUGCCAUCGGAUGUGCCCAGAUGGGAUUAGCUUGUUGGUGGGGUAACGGCUCACCAAGGCGACGAUCCCUAGCUGGUCUGAGAGGAUGACCAGCCACACUGGAACUGAGACACGGUCCAGACUCCUACGGGAGGCAGCAGUGGGGAAUAUUGCACAAUGGGCGCAAGCCUGAUGCAGCCAUGCCGCGUGUAUGAAGAAGGCCUUCGGGUUGUAAAGUACUUUCAGC
RNAcentral lists this ribosomal RNA (442 nucleotides) under Escherichia coli. Its description in RNAcentral is "bacterial SSU rRNA". It matches the Rfam family "Bacterial small subunit ribosomal RNA", at positions 1 to 440 of the family's 1533-position model. The record is from RNAcentral. RNAcentral also lists the same sequence under 1 other name. Lineage: Bacteria; Pseudomonadati; Pseudomonadota; Gammaproteobacteria; Enterobacterales; Enterobacteriaceae.